Non-coding RNA from Xyrichtys novacula (pearly razorfish), 5329 nucleotides. The record is from the annotation of a GenBank genome assembly. Lineage: Eukaryota; Metazoa; Chordata; Actinopteri; Labriformes; Labridae.
GUUGAGCGUGUUGCGGAUUCGCAUCAUUCACGUUUCUUGCUCAGUUCGGUGAUUCUCUCCACAGAGUCACAGUUCUUUUUUUCCAUUGAAGUUCGAUGAUGUCACAGACCUUAGAACUCCCUUGAUGUUCAUGUUGAUAUGACAUCAGAUUCUACAGAUUCUGGCAGGCUUCCAAAAGGCUGGCCAAUCAGAAGAAAGUGGGCCUUAAAGAGACAGAAGCUACAUCGAUGAUUCUUGCAUUUUGCAGCUGAGUUCAUGAUUCGUUGAAAAAUGAUUCUCCGGUGACGAUACCGUACUCUUGUUUGCGUGUCGCAACCCGAUCCAUCACGGAAACCUGAUUUGUACUGUGCAUGUGUGAAAUGUACGUCACUUCCUCUCCUGGCAUUUCAAUGUAUUUUAGGACAGUGAGUCGCUUCCUACCUGAUCCAUACUGCACAAGUGCAAAUUAACUUCACCUUAAAAACUUUAUUUAAACUACUGAUCGUUUCAGAAACAAGCUAACGAUGUAACAGGCUAGCUACGAGAGGCUCCAGAGCUAAUGCCGAGGCAUUCGCCAGAGCUCCUGCCCAGCACGGUGAGACCUUUUGGGCCACAGAGAGCGCCACCAACCGGACCAAUUCAUGGUUCUCUGACUUUUCAAAGUAUCGAGGGGAGGUUUAUUUAAUUUAUUCUAUAAUUAAAUUUAUUAAUAAGAAGCCUGCACAUUACGGACAAUGAAUUUCAACGUUUUAUCUUGCGUUUCAAUUUCAACACUGAAAUAUUCACGUUCAUUCAAGCCUUUUAUAACUACGUUGCAAUUUUACAAUUUAGCUGGAGUAGGAACCUUUAAUUGUAAAACAGGGCGCCAUUCUCUUGACUCUCUGGCUCUCUGCUUCAGUCGGGGGAAGCACGCCGUUCAGGAGAAAAGAAAAGCGUGUGGCUGUUAUAAACUGAAGCAUCUGACUAUAGCGAGCUCGCUGAUGCUGAUGCUUUCGCCUAUGGGCAGUAAAAUUUGGGUUUCUGGGACUGAUCAGAGAGCGACAUUGCUGCUAGCCCCGCCCCUUAAGUUCAUAACUAGCUUACUCAUGCAAUUGUUUUGCAUGAUCUCCUUUGUCAGGAACAGCGGAACCAGAUAAGCACAAGAUACUCUGCUAUGUUGAACACACUUUGUAGUCCAGACCUCAGGUAGGUUGUUGGUUUAUCACCACACUGGAGGUAAGGAAGUAUUCAGCAGCACUGAGCGUUGGUAGCUUUUGAAGUGCAGAGAAAAGAAAUGGACAAUUAGCCGGCUGCUAACCUGAAAUGCUAAAUGUGCUAACUUAACAAGCUCAAUGACCCGGAUAAUGCAAACCACUGCACACAUGAGCGCAGCUGCAGCUGAAAGCUUCCUCUGUUUCUGCUCGAUUGCUCAUCCUGUCUUGUAAAUCCUUAGGGGGCAGGGUGAGCUAAUGAUCUAAACAGUAGUCAAAGUAGUCCUACAACCGUGACACUGUUCAAUAUCUAUUUUCAGCUCAGUGUUAGUCUUUGAAAAGUUCUUAGAUAUAACCUGGCUGUCAAAGUCACGCACUGCAAAUAUGACAGUUGUGUUUUUGCCCAUCGUCCUUCCCUCUGCAGUCUGUGAUUGAGCAGCUGCACGGAGCAGAAGUAGAAAUGGAGUCACUUUCGAGAGCUAAACUGAUUUGUAGGUUACAAAAAUCUGCACGUACCGUCCAAGUAGCACACAUCCUGUUGUUCACGAGAGGAAGGAAGCCGCCGUAUCCUCUCAAAUGGGAAAUGCAGAGGACGCAGAUGAACUGAUAGAAAAAACAGGUAGUGUGAACAAACAUUAGACAGUGCAGUUGAGGAUAUGGAGGCAGAGUACAGACGCUGACAAGAGGUGGAAAGAUACUUAAAGGUCUAUGCAGCCAAGAUACGAAAACAUGUCAAUAGUUCUGAGUCUGAAUCUUAUUCAGGGUUGUUUUACUUUGCAGUUCAUGUUACAACUUCUCUUUCCAUAUUCCUGUAUUUUAGUUCUGCCUGCUUCUUUUCAGAGUCAGAGAGAUGAAUAUGAAUGACACAUUAUAUUUGUGAGUAGACUGACAAAACGGAGUGUGCACAGAAUAUUAUACUGAGCAGGUAUGAAUCUUUGUAGCUUUUUUAUCUUCACAAAGACGUGAAUUUUUCAAAUGAUAAAAAAUUGGCACCAGGGUAGUAAUCGCACAGAGCGUGCAAUCUGGAGAAAAGAAAUCUGAAGAACUGUUGAAGAAUCUUUAAAAAGAAAUACUGAUGUGCUGUUUGAAGCAGGUAACCUCCAGUGGGGAAAAGGGAAGCAACUCUGAAGUGUGGAAAAACCGCAGUUCCUCCAGUGUCCACUUGAGGCUUGCUCCAAAAGCUAACCCUGAUUUCCACCGCACCCGGAAUGGCUACGAAAAAGCCGUUUACACCGAUCGUAGCUGAUCAUAACCAUUCGAGUUGAUGUGUCAAUUUCCACCAGCUUCUUUCCCUUCCGCUGCAGAUCGCCAGACUUUGCAACUGAGCUCAAGAGUUCUAUUUUUUCUGGACGCCGGAGCAUGCCGGAUAAAUUCAGCACAGAUUAACCCGUGCUGGAAAGGAAGUCGGGCACAGACACAAAAUAAAACAUCCGUUUUUGAGGAGAUGCUGAGUCUAGAAGUCUAGAAGUAGAUUUCCUCCUCUGGAAUGACACAAUCUACUGCUUAUAUGGUUAGCCUCUGUGGCUAAAGACAACUUGUUAUAGCGCGAUUGCACGUAGAUUUGUGGGUUCUUGUGAGUUCUCUUGAUUCCUGCUGUCCGUAAUCCACCAUCAAAUCCACCUCACAAACGGAUCUGUUCGGAAUUGGCGUACGGUGAAAAUUGCCGUUCUGGAUCAGAGCCAUUCCAGAUGCGAUGAAAAUCCCGGCAAAGGGAUCUCCAUUAGCACCCAUGUUAAAAUGCAGCUUGGUACAACAAACAGGUCUAGGUAUGCCGCUCAUUGAAUUGUUUUCUUUGCCCAUGUCUACGUUGAUCCAACUUGAGGUUGAGUUCGGGCUGGACGAUAAGACUAUCAAAGUAACUUUCACAAACUCUUAGUCAAUAUUCCAACAACAAAAGAAUGAUUUUAUUUUGGAAAGUUUGUCAGGAAGUUGUUUUAUAUAUCAUCGAGAUAUCUGAGCUUUGGCACUUUGUGUGAUGGUGGUGAAUGCUGAACAGGGUUCUCUUCAGGUCAAAGAUCCAUAUGAGUUCCCAUAGAGAGACCUUCCAGUCCACAGAGACCCUCUAUUCUGACUGUUGGGUUUUAUUUGAACCUUUGUUUACUCAGGGAAGUUUGGCCUAGCUUUGCUGUUCCCUUUUAAAGCCCAUUCAUUCAUGCCGGGCGGCCACACCACGGUGCUCCACUCAGCGAUACUGAACAGGAUCCACUUCAUUGUCCCCAUUCAACUCCAAGUCCGGCAUGCUUGAGGAGUGUACAUCAUGGGAGUUUUUUUCCUGCCCUCGUCCUCCCACUCAGUCCAGCCCCAGCAGCUGUGAAUGUGAUGAUAGGAGCGAAUGACCCCAGAGGACCCCACAAGGCCCACCCCCAUCCAGAUCCCAACCCCGGCUGCCUGUCCCAUAAUGCGAACAAACAGGAACGUGACCCUUUCCUUCCUUCCUUCCCACUGUAACGCAGACUUGGAAUCCAGCCCCCCCUUUUCCUCCCCACUCCGAGGGGAAUCCUCCACCCGAACAGCGGCAUUCCACAUCCUGUCUGAGUGACUCAUUCAGGGGGAAAAGAUGGCUUGUGGAAAAGCUAACCAUGAGACACAGCUAGACGACAGACACCAUCCAGAAGCGAAAAAAUGAUUCACGAGAAGAAAACCUAAAGUUCCACUCUGUAACCGAAGUUUCAAUUAAUGCAUCUCAACGUUUUAAGUGUCCUUUUGGCCUCACAGGACUUAAGGGGGGCAGAGUGAGCCAAAAGAAGCCUCUCUGGAUCCAAGAGGGCUUAAUUAUUCAUGCAAAAUUUGGCAAGCAUCAUGGCCAAACUGAAGUUUUUGGAAUUCCCCAAAAAUGUAAAAAGACAAGGAAGCUGCCUUUACUCAAACUCUGAAUAAAUCACAUUAUCAUCUCAUGAUAGCUUUUUAUAAUUGGAGUCUCUGCAGCAAAGUGUUUUACAUCGAAGUCUUCUGAAAAGGCACAAGGAUACAGGGUUAGUGGUAUGGGGGGUUGGGUUGUUGGGGGGUUAUGAUGCCUCUUUCUAAAGCUGAAGCAAUUUGCGUUUGUGGUUUGGAGGAAGAAGACUAAUAGCUGGCCGACUGCUCUCUCUGUGAGCUUGUUUGCACCACAGCUUGAUUCACAGUUUUUUUUUUCUGAGUAAGAAAACACCCCGUGGGCCUUCGCAGAAAAAAUUAAUGUGAAAAAAUAAAAAAUGCAAAUUCCACCCACCAAAGACAUUUGAGCGUCCGUCAGAGAACCUUCUCAGUUGUUUCUCAACAUACGUCUUCAUGUUAGCGUUCCUCCGAUAAUUAGAACCUGGAACAACCACGUUUAUUUUUUUUGUCAAGUCAUUGCGUAUCUGUCAGUGUAAACACAACACACAGCUCUACCAGAACAAAAAGGAAUAAAACCCAAACUCUGCUGGCUCAUAAGAUGCUGAAUUGACUCUCUUGUACCAGGUCCAACAAGGCUGGGAUUUUGGCUCGACAGACUGCCUUCACUCCAGACUUCUUAAAAACCGUUGGGCUUGUUGCUUUAACCCUCGGUUCCUGUUCACUUGAAGCGCCAUCCAUCCUGUCCCCAAAACAGACAUGCAGAUCAGUGUUCAUAGAAUAAUCAUUUUUAAACAUUUUUUUCUUACUUUUUUGGCUUAAAUCUCUUAAACUUCAUCCCUAACCCUAAAAAAAGUAGUGAAUAAAAAAUUUGACGUAUUACCCUUUUAAUGCCAGUUUUUGUGCGCCAUGUCACGGUCAAGAACCUUGUUUUUAAUGGAAGUCUAUUGUCCAAUUUGCAGACAAAGUAGGGUGGAUGGAGCUAAAAUGUGGCGACAGAGAACUAAAGAUGAAACAGAGUUUUUUUUUUUAAUUUAAAGAUGAAAAAAAAAAAGACAAAUGUCCUUAAAACAGACAUAGUGGAACCGAGGGUUAAGAUAUCCCUCCUGUCUUACUUCCUGAUGCUUUUCAGCUGCAAUAAACAAGAUAACUUCUCCUCUGGGUGGCCUGAGAUUACUAUAUCUGUGAGUAAAGUUUUACUAAUUUUAAUUUAUCGUUGCUAUUUUUAUUUAGAUGAGCCUGAAGCCGACUGAGGCAAACUUUGGUGGUAUCAGGAUUAGAGCUCGCAGUGCAACUCUGAGCAGCAGAGAGUGGAGAUGCUGAUUGUUACCCCCAGUUUCCACCGCAAC